RNAcentral lists this ribosomal RNA (1442 nucleotides) under uncultured organism. Its description in RNAcentral is "SSU rRNA". It matches the Rfam family "Bacterial small subunit ribosomal RNA". The record is from RNAcentral.
ACGCUAGCUACAGGCUUAACACAUGCAAGUCGAGGGGCAGCAUGGUCUUAGCUUGCUAAGGCCGAUGGCGACCGGCGCACGGGUGAGUAACACGUAUCCAACCUGCCGUCUACUCUUGGACAGCCUUCUGAAAGGAAGAUUAAUACAAGAUGGCAUCAUGAGUCCGCAUGUUCACAUGAUUAAAGGUAUUCCGGUAGACGAUGGGGAUGCGUUCCAUUAGAUAGUAGGCGGGGUAACGGCCCACCUAGUCUUCGAUGGAUAGGGGUUCUGAGAGGAAGGUCCCCCACAUUGGAACUGAGACACGGUCCAAACUCCUACGGGAGGCAGCAGUGAGGAAUAUUGGUCAAUGGGCGAGAGCCUGAACCAGCCAAGUAGCGUGAAGGAUGACUGCCCUAUGGGUUGUAAACUUCUUUUAUAAAGGAAUAAAGUCGGGUAUGGAUACCCGUUUGCAUGUACUUUAUGAAUAAGGAUCGGCUAACUCCGUGCCAGCAGCCGCGGUAAUACGGAGGAUCCGAGCGUUAUCCGGAUUUAUUGGGUUUAAAGGGAGCGUAGAUGGAUGUUUAAGUCAGUUGUGAAAGUUUGCGGCUCAACCGUAAAAUUGCAGUUGAUACUGGAUAUCUUGAGUGCAGUUGAGGCAGGCGGAAUUCGUGGUGUAGCGGUGAAAUGCUUAGAUAUCACGAAGAACUCCGAUUGCGAAGGCAGCCUGCUAAGCUGCAACUGACAUUGAGGCUCGAAAGUGUGGGUAUCAAACAGGAUUAGAUACCCUGGUAGUCCACACGGUAAACGAUGAAUACUCGCUGUUUGCGAUAUACAGCAAGCGGCCAAGCGAAAGCGUUAAGUAUUCCACCUGGGGAGUACGCCGGCAACGGUGAAACUCAAAGGAAUUGACGGGGGCCCGCACAAGCGGAGGAACAUGUGGUUUAAUUCGAUGAUACGCGAGGAACCUUACCCGGGCUUAAAUUGCAGAUGAAUUACGGUGAAAGCCGUAAGCCGCAAGGCAUCUGUGAAGGUGCUGCAUGGUUGUCGUCAGCUCGUGCCGUGAGGUGUCGGCUUAAGUGCCAUAACGAGCGCAACCCUUGUUGUCAGUUACUAACAGGUUCCGCUGAGGACUCUGACAAGACUGCCAUCGUAAGAUGUGAGGAAGGUGGGGAUGACGUCAAAUCAGCACGGCCCUUACGUCCGGGGCUACACACGUGUUACAAUGGGGGGUACAGAGGGCCGCUACCACGCGAGUGGAUGCCAAUCCCCAAAACCUCUCUCAGUUCGGACUGGAGUCUGCAACCCGACUCCACGAAGCUGGAUUCGCUAGUAAUCGCGCAUCAGCCACGGCGCGGUGAAUACGUUCCCGGGCCUUGUACACACCGCCCGUCAAGCCAUGGGAGCCGGGGGUACCUGAAGUGCGUAACCGCGAGGAGCGCCCUAGGGUAAAACUGGUGACUGGG